Molecule: ribosomal RNA, 491 nt
Filed under: uncultured bacterium
Lineage: Bacteria
Description: partial 16S ribosomal RNA
Rfam family: Bacterial small subunit ribosomal RNA
Source: RNAcentral
AGUGAACGCUGGCGGUAGGCCUAACACAUGCAAGUCGAACGGCAGCACAGUAAGAGCUUGCUCUUACGGGUGGCGAGUGGCGGACGGGUGAGGAAUACAUCGGAAUCUACUUUUUCGUGGGGGAUAACGUAGGGAAACUUACGCUAAUACCGCAUACGACCUACGGGUGAAAGCAGGGGAUCUUCGGACCUUGCGCGAUUGAAUGAGCCGAUGUCGGAUUAGCUAGUUGGCGGGGUAAAGGCCCACCAAGGCGACGAUCCGUAGCUGGUCUGAGAGGAUGAUCAGCCACACUGGAACUGAGACACGGUCCAGACUCCUACGGGAGGCAGCAGUGGGGAAUAUUGGACAAUGGGCGCAAGCCUGAUCCAGCCAUACCGCGUGGGUGAAGAAGGCUUUCGGGUUGUAAAGCCCUUUUGUUGGGAAGGAAAAGCAGCAGGUUAAUACCCCGCUGUUCUGACGGUACCCAAAGAAUAAGCACCGGCUAACUUCGU